RNAcentral lists this small nucleolar RNA (72 nucleotides) under Heterocephalus glaber (naked mole-rat). Lineage: Eukaryota; Metazoa; Chordata; Mammalia; Rodentia; Bathyergidae. The record is from RNAcentral.
AAGUGAUGAAAUCACCAAGAGCAGGUGGAAUUACCUGCAGAUUGGUAGUGGUGAGCCUACGAUUUUCUGAUG